This 497-nucleotide ribosomal RNA is filed under the name uncultured bacterium. RNAcentral's name for it is "partial 16S ribosomal RNA". It matches the Rfam family "Bacterial small subunit ribosomal RNA", at positions 28 to 507 of the family's 1533-position model. The record is from RNAcentral.
GAUGAACGCUGGCGGCGUGCCUAAUACAUGCAAGUCGAGCGAACGGACGAGAAUCUUGCUUCUCUGAUGUUAGCGGCGGACGGGUGAGUAACACGUGGAUAACCUACCUAUAAGACUGGGAUAACUUCGGGAAACCGUAGCUAAUACCGGAUAAUAUUUUGAACCGCAUGGUUCAAAAGUGAAAGACGGUCUUGCUGUCACUUAUAGAUGGAUCCGCGCUGCAUUAGCUAGUUGGUAAGGUAACGGCUUACCAAGGCAACGAUGCAUAGCCGACCUGAGAGGGUGAUCGGCCACACUGGAACUGAGGCACGGUCCAGACUCCUACGGGAGGCAGCAGUAGGGAAUCUUCCGCAAUGGGCGAAAGCCUGACGGAGCAACGCCGCGUGAGUGAUGAAGGUCUUCGGAUCGUAAAACUCUGUUAUUAGGGAAGAACAUAUGUGUAAGUAACUGUGCACAUCUUGACGGUACCUAAUCAGAAAGCCACGGCUAACUACGUG